This 468-nucleotide ribosomal RNA is filed under the name uncultured bacterium. Its description in RNAcentral is "partial 16S ribosomal RNA". It matches the Rfam family "Bacterial small subunit ribosomal RNA", at positions 28 to 507 of the family's 1533-position model. The record is from RNAcentral.
GACGAACGCUGGCGGCGUGCUUAACACAUGCAAGUCGAACGGAAAGGCCCUGCUUUUGUGGGGUGCUCGAGUGGCGAACGGGUGAGUAACACGUGAGUAACCUGCCCUUGACUUUGGGAUAACUUCAGGAAACUGGGGCUAAUACCGGAUAGGAGCUCCUGCUGCAUGGGGGGGGUUGGAAAGUUUCGGCGGUUGGGGAUGGACUCGCGGCUUAUCAGCUUGUUGGUGGGGUAGUGGCUUACCAAGGCUUUGACGGGUAGCCGGCCUGAGAGGGUGACCGGCCACAUUGGGACUGAGAUACGGCCCAGACUCCUACGGGAGGCAGCAGUGGGGAAUAUUGCACAAUGGGCGGACGCCUGAUGCAGCAACGCCGCGUGCGGGAUGACGGCCUUCGGGUUGUAAACCGCUUUCGCCUGUGACGAAGCGUGAGUGACGGUAAUGGGUAAAGAAGCACCGGCUAACUACGUG